UACGAAGGGGGCUAGCGUUGCUCGGAAUCACUGGGCGUAAAGCGCACGUAGGCGGCUUUCUAAGUCAGGGGUGAAAUCCUGGAGCUCAACUCCAGAACUGCCUUUGAUACUGGAGAGCUAGAGUCCGGAAGAGGUGAGUGGAACUGCGAGUGUAGAGGUGAAAUUCGUAGAUAUUAGCAGGAACACCGGUGGCGAAGGCGGCUAUCUGGACGACAACUGACGCUGAGGCGCGAAAGCGUGGGGAUCAAACAGG
RNAcentral lists this ribosomal RNA (253 nucleotides) under uncultured bacterium. RNAcentral's name for it is "partial 16S ribosomal RNA". It matches the Rfam family "Bacterial small subunit ribosomal RNA", at positions 524 to 776 of the family's 1533-position model. The record is from RNAcentral.